AAGACAGAGGGUGCAAACGUUGUUCGGAAUUACUGGGCGUAAAGCGAGUGUAGGCGGUCUGAAAAGUCAGGUGUGAAAGCCCCGGGCUCAACCCGGGAAGUGCACUUGAAACUGCCAGGCUAGAGUAUCGGAGAGGUUGGUGGAAUUCUCGGUGUAGAGGUGAAAUUCGUAGAUAUCGAGAGGAACACCGGUGGCGAAGGCGGCCAACUGGACGAAUACUGACGCUGAGACUCGAAAGCGUGGGGAGCAAACAG
This 254-nucleotide ribosomal RNA is filed under the name uncultured prokaryote. RNAcentral's name for it is "partial 16S ribosomal RNA". It matches the Rfam family "Bacterial small subunit ribosomal RNA", at positions 522 to 775 of the family's 1533-position model. The record is from RNAcentral.